Molecule: long non-coding RNA, 4810 nt
Organism: Mus musculus (house mouse)
Lineage: Eukaryota; Metazoa; Chordata; Mammalia; Rodentia; Muridae
Product: predicted gene, 31127
Exons: 3
Source: RefSeq, a predicted model, not a curated record
ACUAUUUUAAGUGAGAAAUGUCUGAUAGUUUUUUUUUAAGUUACAUGUAUUUAUUUAUUUUUGAUGUGGCAUGUAUGUGUAGAGAGCAGAGGACAGCUUGUGGGAGUCAGUUAUCUCCGUCCACCAUGUGGGCCCCAGGGGUUAAACUCAGGCCAUCUAGCCUGGCAACCAUUUCCUUUGCCCACUGAGCCAUCUCCACAUCCUGCUAGCCCUGCUUCUCUUAAUAACUUUCAUGCAUAAGAACGUCUUGCCUACCUGCUGUGUCUUUACACUAUGUGUGUGCAGUGCCUGUUGAAGCCAGGAGAGGGCAUCAGAUCCCCUGGAACUGUAGUUAUGGACAGCUGUGGCUGCUCAGACUCACACCUGGUCCUUUGAAAGAGGACCACUGAGCCAUCUCUCUCUUCCAGCCCAUCUCUAAGGGGCAGUGCAGAUGCAAGUCAGUGAGAGUUUUUCGCUGAUCGGUUAUCCUGUAUUGUUCAUCUCUUGGUUUGUGUUUUAACAGAGUGGGAUCUAAGAGGCAUCUGCUUGCUUCCUCCUGUUGUAUAUAUUCCCUCUUUGGGGUGGAAUCAAAUGGAUCAGUGUCUAUUAUAGUCUGUAUUUUGUCUCCUUUAGGUUUUUUGAGGCAGGAUUCUGUGUACUCAGGCUAGCCUUGGACUUGUGAUGUCACUUAAGGAUGUGUGGAGGAUCUUCCUGCCUCCACAUCCCUGAGUGCUGGGAUUAGGAGUUCCUGUCAGCGUGCCUGAUUUAUAUAUAGGUGCUGGGAAUCAAACUCAGGGAUUUAUGCAUGCUAAGCAAAUGCUGUCUCAACCAAGCCACAGCCACAGCCUCCCCGUUUGUUUGACUGCCCCUUCGUCCCCCACGCACAGUGGAGGCGUUCUUAGUUUAUAUCGGCUCCGACGCUCCGGGAGGCAAAGACAGGGAAGGCAACCCAGAAUGGUGGAUGGCUGGAUGGUUUUGAGCCAUGGAAACCAAGCCCAGCCAACUUAAACAAAAAGGGAAUUCAUUGGCCUGCUACUAGGGAGUCACGGAACAGAAGAGCCAACAUCCAGGUUCUGGAAGAGGCAGGAGCCAGGGUUGCCGUGAGAUUUUUAGCAGCAAUUCCCACAGCUGGCCGCUGAGGAUGCCCUUCUGGGGUUAAUCAACUCUGUGGUUUCCUUUCCUUGCAUCAGUCUCUAGGGGAGACAGGCUGCUUGUCUCAGCGGAGGUUCCUAGCCCAGACCCCUCCAAAGGUGGAAGGUGGACAGGCGUCUUGGCACGCAGCCCCUCCGGACUACACGCAGAGGGCUGGCUGGGCCUCAAAACAAAGUCUGGUUGCUGUUAGCUGAAGGGGGAGGGGAGAGUGCUGAACAGGCAAAAGCACUGCUGGCCACAGCCUUGUUCUAACUAGAUUCCCUUGGUGACCUGUGGAGAGCUGGGGCACUGUCUUUUGUCUUCGUUUCUAAGACUUUCAUCUUCGUCUCUUCAAACCUUUAGCAGUGGGAACAUUUAAAAUACACUAAGAGCCGGCUGUAGUGGCUCAUGCCUGUAGUCACCAGAGAUGUGAAGGCAGGGGCGUCGGGGGAAUUCAAGGUUUUCUGCCAGUCUGUGCUACAUGAGACUUUGUCUCAAACAAAUAUACAAAAGGAGUAAGGACUAGAGCAGCUUAGUCCGAUCCAUGUGUGCCAUGUACCCCUGAGGACCUGAGUUCAGACUCCCAGCAUGCACAUGAAAGCCAUGCGUAUGUGGUACUCGGCUACACCCAGCACCAGCACUAUCCAGGGAAGGGGCAGGCAGAGUGGAGUUAACAGACCAGCAUCCUUGUAGAGUGGAUGAGCUACAGGCUCUAAGAGCAACUGUGUAUCAAAAAAUGAGGCAUAAUGUAAAGGAGGAAGACACUGGAUACAGAUCUGUGGCCUCCACAGCUGUACGUGAACACCCAUGCUCACAGACAUCAAACGGGUAGAUGCCAGAGGGCCAAUAAGAUGGCUAAGGGGUAUAGGCUCUAGCCGUGCAAGCCUAAUGACCUGAAUUCCAUACCCACAACCCACAUAAGAGUCAAAGGACAGACCAGUCUUCUGCAAGAGCAGUUUGCUCUCAAAAGGGAGGAGCCACCUCCCCAGCCCCUCCACUUCCUUUGAAACAAUGUUUCUCAUUGAACUCCAAGCUCACUAGUCAACAGCUGGCUAGAGAUCCUGAAGUCCACUUGCUUCCCCACCUGUAACCCCACUUGGGGUUACAGACAUGUGCCACCUUGCCUUUUUUUCACCUGGGUGCUGGGGAUCGAACUCAAUUCCUCAUGCUUGUAUGUUAGCACUUUGCCCACUGAGCCACUUCCCCAGCCCCUAUUGGCUGCUUUCUAAGAAUAAGGUUUUGGGAGCUCGUUCAUGUUUCACAUGUUAGCAAUUAAUCCCUUUUGUUGCUGAGAACAACUUGCUGGGUCAAAUAUCCCGCAGAUCUAAGUAGCUGUGCAUUUAUUUUUACAACUUCAUACAUAAACCUACACAAGCACUUUAAUUCCAGCCCUGAUAGGCUUCUGUUCCCCUCUCUGUCUUCCACUUUUAGUUCUUCUUUCUGACAUUUUAUGUUGGCUCCGUGCAUUUAAUUAGCAUUGCUGGGGGUUAGUCGCUUCAGAAAAGGCAACUUACACCCCAGAGGAAUAUGGCCACGCCCCCACCGCCUCUCUACGCCACCUCCUGCCCUACCCAACCCUAGCAACCAAUAACUAACUGCUCAUAGCUCAUGAGGGAAGAGUGGGCCUCAGAGCCCUUCUCUCCCAUCUUGUUCAGGUCUUGUGCAAGAAACCACAGCUGCUUCAAGUUGCUGCACAACUGUCUCCCUGGCCUUCCUCAAGCUGCUAAACCUUUCGACCGCCGCCGUUGAUGGAUGCCUGGAUCGCUUUCCAGUGUCGGCUUUGUACUACUCUCCAGGAAUGGCAGCUUAUACCACCACUUGCGAAGCUGAGAAAGGAGAAUUGUGAGUUUAAGAUCAUUGUUGAAUAACAGCAAAUUUGAAGCCAGCCUGGGCUACACAGAAAGAGCCUAUGUCAAAACAGCAACAACAGCAAUAAUAAUGGUCAAAUGUGGUUAUUCAGCAUUAAUUUCAAAUUUUAUUUAAUCUAAAACCAUAACCAAAACUUACAUUUGAGAAAACUGGGAGGGUCACCUGGUAGCGAAGUGGGUUAAAGGAGCUUGCCACCAAACCAGACAGCUUGAGUUUGAAGGAGAGAACCGAUUGCCACAAGUUGUCCUCAGACUUAUGUGUCCCUGGGUAUGAGUGCUCCCACCACUAAACAAAAGAAAUUUUAAAAAUACAAUAAACAUUUAAAAUAAAUUAAACAUAAAAAGAGCAGGACCCAAGGGAGGGAGUGCUCAAUGAGAAAACUUCAGAACUGUGAACUUCAGAAAAGAAAGCUUUAAAGACAGUGGGGAGAUAAAGUUAGGAGCUAACGGGUUCUGUGCUGAGGGUAGCAACAUCUUUCCUUUUGUAUUUUAAAGACAGGGUCUUACCAUGUAGCCCAGGCUGGCCUUGAACUUGAAACUUCAGCUCCCUCCCCCGCCCCAAGUUUUGGGAUUACAGAUGUGCACCACCACCCAUCUAGAACUAUCACCCCAUUUUUGAGCAAGCAGAAAGCCCACAGAGUUGCCCACUUCUGGGAAGAAGUGUGUCACCUCGGGAAGGAAGUGGUGUCUGAGAUGGCCUGCCCCCCCCCCCCGCCCCCCAGCCUGGCUUUUGGCCAUUUAGAAACAGCAUAGCUGUGUUAAACACACAGAGUGCUGGGAUAAUUGGAAACAGAUGAGGUGCAGCCUGCUUCUUUUGACUGUUGCUUGCGAAAUGCAGCCUGUAACAGCCAUGUGGUGUGGGGAAGCUGUGCUAGGCAGGCGGGUUUGCCAAGGAUGUCUUGUACCUAUGGGCCACACUUUUUUUUCCUGCUCUGCGAAGCCUAGUAUGCUCCAAGGGAGAGGGAGAACAAGCUGUCUACGAGUCUCCUAAGGUUUAAUGUAAGAUUUCAUCUAUAUGAUGUCAUUUUACAUCCCUUUUUGGGCGGUGUGGGGGUAUAAGCACACAAGUGUGUACAUGGGCAUAGACUGAGACCUUGUCUGGGAACAGGGAACUCAGUUGAGAAAAUGCCUCCAUUAAUUGGCCUGUAGGCAAGCCUGUUUUUUUUUUUUUUUUUUUUCUAUUUGAGAGAGUGUCACUCUUUCAAGCUCUGGCUAUCAUGGAAUUCUCUUACAGACCAAUCUGGCCAAACUCAGAGACCUGCCCCGCUCCCAAGGUGCUGGGAUUCAAGGCGCCCACCAUCACACCCUGCUACCAUUUUCUCGAUUAAUGAUUGAUACAGGAUAUUAUGGCUUGUAUAUGCUCAGGGAAUGACACUAUUAGCAGGUGUGGCUUUGUUGGAGUAGGUGUGUCACUGUAGGCGUGGGCUUUAAGACCCUCAUCCUGACUGCUUGGAAGUCAGUCUUCUCUUAGUGGCCUUCAGAUGAAGAUGUAGAACUCUCAGCUCCUCCUGCACCAUGCCUGUCUGGAUGCUGCCAUGUUCCCACCUUGAUGAUAAUGGACUGAACCACUGAACCUAUAAGCCAGCCCCAAUUAAUUAAAUGUUGUCCUUUAUAAGAGGUGUCUGUUCAUGGUGUCUCUUCACAGUAGCAAAAUCCUAACUAAGACAUGGGAGGUGAUGCCACCCCUGUGCAGAUGGUCCUGCCAUGAGGAACAAGCCAUUAAGCGGUGUUCCUCCAUGAUCCCUGCUUCCGUUCCUGCCUCCAGUUCUUACCCAGAUGUCUCUCCAUAAUGCACUGUAAGCUGUAAGCCAACUAAACGGUUUCCUCUCCAA